CUCUAAAUCAAGAUCUUGAUGACAUUCGAGCGCAAUUGAUAAUCGAAAUGGAACAUGUCAUUCGCAUUCGGGUGGUCUCUAAAACUGAUUGGGAUACGAUGCAGAAAAUGAUUGGAGAUUUGGGCAUUAUAGGCCGACAAUUGUUUUAAGCUCGGAUAUAAUUGGAGAUACCUCUUGGAAAGUGAUUUCUCAGUUUGCUUCGAGAGUUGGUUCUCCCUAUGCUGAUGCUGGGCCUUCUUUGGAGUCUUCACCGCCUCAGCGUGGGCCCCAGAGCCUUAUCCUUAUGAUAUAGGUCACUAUAUGCAGAAUCUUCAUCAGUAAGCUGACACGCGUGUUAACUUAGUAUAGUUUUCUUGUGAAAGGCCAUCUUUUUUCAGUAGAUAAGAAGGGAAUCAUGCCAGUAAAUCAUGCUAGCUACUGUCAGUUGUCAGAGAAAAGAAGACAAUCAAAUGACUUCUCUAUUCUAGUAAUUCAAUUCGUGUUACAGCAUACUUGAUACUUGGAAGAGUGAAAUAUUGUCUUCGUCAAAAUCUCCAGCGGCGGCGUGUUUCUGAUGAGUCUCCAUGGAGGUUUUUGCACUGAAGUUCGAAUCUAAUUGCCUCUCGUUUCCAGAUUAGACCUCGGCCCAGUCUGGAUCCUCCUCCUCCCUUCCUCGGAUCCUGUGAGUUGCGGGUGGCGGUGUGGCCAAUAACCGGCAAGAUGGAAGACGGGGUUUUGUGCUCUACUGGCGGCGGCCUUCGUAGCGUUGGUUUCCGAUUUGGUUUUCCCAAUAUGGGGGGUGCUGGUGGACUAAUAAAUUUCUUUACCUUUCAGUUGUCUAUAUUUAUUUUUACUUAGGUUUCAGUUGGGUUGGUUGAUUUUCAGAGUGUUUUCCUGUGCUCGCCGUGGCCGCUGAGGUUUCAUCGGCGUUCGCUUGUUUGCACAGUUUGGCCGGUGUUUCACUCUUUGCGUCCAGAGUCCCCCGUGGCAACGGGGACUCACCCCAGAGUAGUGUCCUGCACUACUCCUGCUUGCGGCAUUGAACCGGAAUCCUGCUUUUCACUCGCCCCGUUCGUGCCUUGAGCUGCCGGCGUGGCCUUAAUGGAGAGCAUAUCCUUGGAUGGGGUGUGACGUCCUCUGGCUUGAAGCUAUGCUAUUCCCUGGAACAAAUGUAAUUAAUUUGGAAUGAAUAGAUGUUUAUGCCGUCGGUGUAUAUAAUUUGUUCUCUUCUUAUUAUUGCAUGUCUACAACUCCACUUGGCGGACGUGGUUUGGUUCGUGUAGAGGUUUGUGUGCCCGCGUUGUGAUAUUGGAUGGAAGUUUUCCUUUUUGCAUUC
Rhododendron vialii is the source of this 1315-nucleotide RNA transcript. RefSeq lists it as uncharacterized. The transcript is spliced from 2 exons. The record is from RefSeq and is a predicted model, not a curated record. Lineage: Eukaryota; Viridiplantae; Streptophyta; Magnoliopsida; Ericales; Ericaceae.